GAUCCACUAGACUAGACGAACGUGAUUUCCAUAUUCCACGAGAGUCUAUGAUAGUCUAUACUAUCUAUAUCUAUACUAAUAUUAUAAAGAGGAGAGAUUUGUUUGUUUGUUUGUAUUGAAUAGGCUCAGAAACUACUAAACCGAUUCAAAAAAAUAUUUCACUGUUUAGAAGCUACACUAUUCCCGAGUGACAUAGGCUAUAAUGUUUUUUAAAAAAAUUAGAGAUCCUUACUAAAACUCCAAUAAUGUAACCCAAGGUGUAAAAAAAUUACCUAAAAUAUUCUUUACAUCGCGUGCCCUGCGAAGACUAUUGAUGAUAGAAUAAAAUAAUGUACUACGACUUUGUAGAACACAUUAUUAUUUACAAAUAGUGUCGCCACAGCAUAUGUUUAACUAUUAUAGUUAUGCCGCAAUAAGUGUUCUUUUAUUUAAAAAAAUAAAACAACGUCAAAUAUUGUUGAAAUUUUUCUUUAAGACCCGAGCGGAGCCGGAGCGGGCCGCUUGUGUCUAAUAAAAUACUAGAGGAUUUAAAAGCAUUAUAAAAUUUAAUAUCUAGGCCGCAUAACAAAAUAAUUAAUGUGAAACAAUACAAAUUCUUAAUACUGUACUCACAAAAUUCUAUUGCAAACAAUGUCUAGACUUCGUUUAAGACGCUACGGCGUAACUAGUGUUUACAUCAGUGUUUUGACGAGAGGUCAACGAGGUCACUUGCGUUGUACAUUUAAUUUAAAAACCGUUUGUGUAUUAAUAUUUUAUUUCGUAAUUUUACGUCUAAGAAAUUUAAAAGACAAGGUCUCUAUGGACGGCGCGAUUACUGGAGGCCAUAUACCACACAGAAUCAACACAAGUUUUCAAUGGAAAACUCAGCCCCUGCCGCUCCAGCCAUAGGAGGUCGUCGAGAACCAUCGACAGAUCCCGUGAAAGCUCAAGGAGUUUUGAACGCAUUGGCUCGCAAAACUAGAGACACAGCAAGGAUAUGGCGGGAAAGAUGGGGUUUUUACUGUCGAAUUGACAAAAUCCAAGAAGAGGAAGCAGAGAAAAUUGGUAUGACCAAGGACGAAUACAGGGCAGCAGUCCGUUCUAUGAGCAGCCAGCCAGAACCUAAGACAUCUCCAGUCGAUGUGGAUCCAUCUCCCAAGCCUCUUCCUCCAACAUCGACUGGUAUGAUUGGUCGUCGAGCUCAGUGUCCAUUGGAGCGGUACGGUCCUCUGGUCAAAACUGGUCGACAAUACUCUACGCGUCCACCAAUGAAACCUGGACAAGUUUAUGAUCCUUACAAACAGACAUUGGUGUUCUUAGGGAGUGUUGAUGGCGAUCCAAUAUCAUACAAGCUGCCUCCGUCGCGGUGCGAGGUGACAGACGAAAUGUGGUCACAGCCGCAACAGCUGACCGUUUCACCAUUUCAAUGGGAAAAUAUAGAAAAAACACUGAGUGAUUCAUAAAAUAACUAGAUCUUAAAAUAAUAAGCUUAAUUCCGUAAUCAAUAUAGUGUUAUCUAUACUAAUAUAUAAAUCUACAGUGGUUUUUACGGAUGUUCCGUUAUAACUACUGAACCGUGCAUCUGAUUGACUUGAAACUUAGUAUACAUGUAGAAAAUUCAUGUACUUAAUGGAUAGGCUAAUAUUUAUAUGAGUGUUGGACUCCCCACACCAGUUGCGGGGGCGUUAAUGACGAGAAUCUUUGUGGGAGUGAGAAAUAAUAAUGUUAGUUUUAAAUGCCCAGCGAAGCGAACGGGUAUAGUUAGUAUUAUUAUACAUAAGAAACUGAUUUUGGGGGGCGUUAAUGACGAGAAACUUUGUGGGAGUGAGAAAUAAUAAUGUUAGUUUUAAAUGCCCAGCGAAGCGGACUGAUACAGCUAGUAUUAUUAUACAUAAGAAACUGAAUUUGGUUUUUUGUUUGUUAUGUUACGUCUUAACUAUUAUUCAGGAUCGAUCAUGAACUUUUGUAAAAACGUUGUCCCUAGAAAAGUAAAUUGACGCACACAUUCCUUGGCUGUGCCCCUGGCGUUGCUAACGUCCAUGAGCGACGGUAACCACUUACCAUCAGGUAGGCCGUAUGCUCAUCUGCCUACAAAGGCAAUAAUAAAACUUAAGAAUUACUUUCAAAUUAAUAUUUUAAUAUGUAUGCAAACUGUUUCAAUUUACACAAACGAACUAGCUGACCCGGCAGACUUCGUAAUGCAUCAAACGAUAAAUAAAAAACCUAAGCUUCUGUAUAAAAUAAACAUAAAACAAACAAAAGUAAUCCGUCCGACGGGGGACACAUCAAAGGGAAAGGAAAAUUGUUAUUUUUACUUAAUUCCGAGCAUUUUCAUAUUGUUUCACCUUUUAAACCUCUGGACUUCCACAAACAAUUCAAGACCAAAAUUAGCCAAAUCGGUUCAGUCGUUCUCGAAUUUUAGCGAAACUAACGAACAGCAAUACAUUUUAUAUAUAUAUAGAUAAGCGAAGACUGGUUAAUCAAAUGUAGAAUAAUAAUAAUAAAUAAGGAACUGCAGCAACACAAAUUGCUGAAGGCGGGAAAAGAAAAUUAACGAGUGAUCUUAAUGCGUAUUAUCUGAAUUGACUGUUAUUUUUUUCUUUCAUCUGCUAAUUAAUAAUUGAUUGUUACCAAUAGAAUUGUUACGUAGUCUUUUUAAUUCAAUAAGAAUUUCGGUAAACAAAUAGAGAAAUACUUGUGGGAGCACAUUAUGAGUCCGCACAGGGAGGUACAUGUAUUGUGCUUUUACUACCGCAAAGAAGUCAUACGUUCCGAAGUGAAGGGCGAGACUGCCGUUAUACAAUUAAGCAUUCGACCUCAUUUUUUGGGGUCAUUGGUGACGUUCACGCUGUGAUAUCUACGGAGUCCGUAGCCGUUUUAAAUCAGAUGGGCUGUAAACUCCUUCACCUAUGUAUAUGCGCAGCCCAAAAAAUACUUUUUUUUUUAUUGCUUAGAUGGGUGGACGAGCUCACAGCCCACCUGAUGUUAAGUGGUUACUGGAGCCUAUAGACAUCUACAACGUAAAUGCGCCACCCACCGUGAGAUAUAAGUUCUAAGGUCUCAGUAUAGUUACAACGGCUGCCCCACCCUUCAAACCGAAACGCAUUACUGCUUCACGGCAGAAAUAGGCAAGGCGGUGGUACCUACCCGUCCGGACUCACAAGAGGUCCUACCACCAGUAAUUACGCAAAUUAUAAUUUUGCGGGCUUGAUUUUUAUUACACAAUGUUAUUCCUUCACCGUUGAAGUCAAUCGUGAACAUUUGUUAAGUACGAGUUUCAUUAGAAAAAUUGGUACCCGCCUGCGGCAUUCGAACAUCGGUGCAUCGCUAGAUACGAAUGCACCGGACGUCUUAUCCUUUAGGCCACGACGACUUCUAAAACUUUCAUCCAGAAAACAAGACGUACUAUUCUGAAUUAUUAUUUUUACACUAUAAAGAAGCGAGAACAGCGAAACGUUUGAUGGUAGCCCCUUUAUAAACCUACAAGCUUUUGCCCGCGACUCCGUCCGCGUGGAGUACUUACUUUGGCAUAACGCUAAAUUUUACCCCCCACUUGAUUUACGUAGAAAGUGAAAAUAUUUUUGAAUUAUAGAAUGUUAAGGAAGCUAUAUAAACCCCUAUUUUGAAAAAUUCUUUAUUGGUGCUCCAUUUGUAUUGGUCUUACCGUGAUUAGCAUCCAUUCAUAUAUUAGCCCAUUAUAUAGCCCAUUUAUUGAGGCUAUAGGCUACAGCUAUAUAGCCUAUAGUCUCAAUAAAUGGGCUAUCUAACACUGAAAGAAUUUUUCAAAUCGGACCAGUAGUUUCUGAGAUUAGCGCGUUCAAACAAACAAACUCUUCCGCUUUAUAAUAUUAGUAUAGAUAAUACAAUUUAGAAAACAUUUCCUAAAUAUACAAAUACUGAAAUAUGGUGAUCAAUAAGGCAAUAUAGGUAAUUUUUAUUUAAGUUUAUUGUAACAUAAAAGUAAAAACGAUUAUUUAAUUAACACUUCGUUUAUUUCUUAUCGCCACGGGAGGUAACAUUGACAUUAUAUUUUCUGGGAGUAUCUCGACCGUAACAGCUUCACUCUUGCCGAGCCAAUAAAAAUCGGAGAGAUACUGAAACAGAAUACGCUUUUUAAAAAUGAUUAUGAAAACUUAUCUAUCUCAAUCUUGGGUGAUAUAUAAAUAAAUAAAUUCUUUUUUUUUGAGGUUACACGUGCAUACUCGUUUUCGUUUAUUUUCCGAACUUUCUAUCCAAAUUUCUUCCUAGUUCCUGUUUAAAAUACAGUAAUUAAGGCAUGACUACAGAUAAGUUCUAGUAGGGGAUCAAAUGUUCCAUUUCAAACAAGUCAGAGCCGCCCCUGUGUAUGAAAACAUAACAUCCUUAUUUUUGGUCAAGAAUUCAUUGUCUAUGGAUUGUGCGAGGUGGAACAUUGCAAAUGGUUUAUAAACGGUUUAUAAAUAAUACUUAAAUUAAAAAAAACAUUGUUCGUUUAGAUAUCUUCAUUGAAAUGAAGAUAUUAGUAUAGAGAGAGUUAACAUUUUAAUUUUAUUUUCAUAGUGUAAAAUCCCUCUUUUUAUUGGAUAAGUGGUUUUGUAAAGAAGUCAACAGGAAAUUCAGAUAUUUUUAAGCCCAGUUGCAAAUAAAAAAAUUCGAGCAAUAACGACACGAUUGCGUUAAACAGAGAUAGAGACACUUGUCAGAUUAUUACGGACCUUACCCGGACUAAGAUCAUUAAUCUAUACACAGUUAUGAAGGUACAGUUUUAGUAAUUAGAUUAGCAGUUUUAGCAAAUAGAUCAGAUAUGAAUAAAGUUCUUUUUAUUUGAUAAAUACCUUCAUGGGAAGAAUAUGAUAACCUAGAUUCAUUUCGCCUGCGUCCGCCGAUUUCUUCUUUUUGGUUGGCUCCAUUUCAAACUGCACGGGCAAAGAGGUAAAUUAAAACACUGCCUGUGUAAUUUAUGUAAAAAAUUAAUCUAAUAUUUUUUUAUUGCUCAGAUGAGUGGACGAGCUCACGGCCCACCUGGUGUUAUGUGGUUACCGGAGCCCAUAGACAUCAACAACGUAAACGCCACCACCCGCCUCGAGACACGAGUUGUAAGGCCUCAGUUAUUACAGUACAACGGCUGCCCCACGCUUCAAACCGAAUCGCAUUACUGCUUCAUGGCAGAAAUAGACGGGGUGGUGAUGCCUACACCUGAUUUCUCAACAUGCCCUACCACCACUCAAUUUUUCUUUAUAUACCAUUAGCAAUAAUAAUGGAUGAGUUUGUGCAUAUACAGAAUAUAAAUUUAAAUGUAAAAGUGACAAGUUUUUUAAAUCAAAGUUAAGCAAAGACAACCCAACUAUUCAACCCUAUAAAUGGCAUCACUUAAUAUCCACGGUUGUAAGCAAAAACUUAAUUCUAUUGUCAUAUAUAAUAGAAUUAUAACGAAGAAAAAUUAUUACAAUGUGUUGUCAAGAAAAAAAUCUAUGAAAAUUCAAAAAAUUCAAUAUUUUUUUCGUUUCCCUUGUAGGCAGACGAGCAUACGGCCCACCUGAUGGUGAGUGGUCACCGUCGCCCAUGGACUUCAGAAAUGCCAGGGGCAGAGCCAAGCCGCUGCCUAAUAGUAUGUAAUGCAUGUGAAAGUAUUCUCACCUGCGCUUUCCUGUCCAAUACGAACAGAUCUCUCAAGUGUUGGAACACGACGGACUGGCCGCUCGGGUGCGGGUGUACGGACAGCACGCACUGCUUCGUGUCGUACCACACGGGGGGCAUGGCCGAGCCGGGCCAAUCACUGAAUUUUUUCUCGAACAAUUCAUAUUCUACGACCUGUGGAAAGUAAAAAAAAAAACACCUCGUAUAGAACGCUUAGUGAAGUGUACACUUAAAAAUAACGUGUUAUUUUUUAUUUAUUUAUUGCUUAGAUGAGUGGACGAGCUCACAGCCCACCUGGUGUUAAGUGGGUACUGGAGCCCAUCUAUAACGUAAAUGCCGCCACUCACCUUAAGAUAUAUGUUCUAAGGUCUCAGUAUAGUUAUAAUGGCUGCCCCAACUUUCAAUCCGAAAAGCAUUACUGCUUCACGGCUGAAAUAGGCAGGGUGGUGGUAUUUACCCAUGCGGACUCACAAGAGGUUCUAUCACGAGUAAAUAUUCAUUAAAAUAUAAAUAUAUAUUCCUUAAAAUUUGCUAAUGAAAUAUACAUAGAUACAAAAAGGCAAAUUGUAAUACCCUGUCAUUUCUGCCGCGAAACAACCAUGCGUAUCUGUUUGAAUAGAUUGAACAGUAAGAUUGAGGCUUUGAAUCAUGUAAUCAAGUUAGGUUUGGUAGCAUUCAUGUGGACGAGCUCACCCAUCUAUGCAAUAAAAAUAAAAUCAAAAAUCAAAAAAAUAUUCUAAUUUUAAACAUACCUUUCUGUCAACGUAUGCUACUAUCAAAGUCUCCUUUUCGGCAUCGACAACCAUGGCCGAUGGUACACAAUGAUAUUUCGGCAAUGUUAUAUAGUGUUCGAAUUUCUUUCCAAUUUGUGUCCAUAUUACUAUAUCACCUUGUGUGUCCGCUACCACUAAAUACACUUUAUUGCUAGGACAUUUCUUUGAUAUUUGAAAAUGCAAUAUUGAUUUGCAACUUAAAUCUGUAAGAACAAAUGAAAGAAGAUUUAUGUGUAUGUAUAUUAAAAUUAGAUAAAUCCAUUCUGUUCUCCAUGCAAAUGGUUAUUUAUAUUCUACUAAAAUUAUAAAUAAUAUAUACAUUAUAGAACGGCUGUACAUUACCAGGUUAAAAUAAUGUACAUUUGUUGAAUUUAUUUCAUAAAAAAACUGAGUACUUCAAAGCUAUCAUCAAAAUAAAUAUUUGUUUUUAUAUACUUAUUUACAGGCCCUAUACAUUACAAUUCAACGAUGUCAACCGAGCAGUAUAUAUUUUACGGUAAAAGUAGAUAUUGCGGUAAAUGUACACAUUUUCCGGUAAUUGUGCACAUUUGCCUCCUCAUUUGGGUAAUGUGCAUUCAACUAACAUUUACCAUUUCAAAGAAGGGAAAUGUACAUUGAAUUCACAAUGACCAUGUCGUUUUGGUAAAUGUGAGCAUGGCAUACAAAAUACGAAAUCGCAAGUACUAGUAAUGUGGUGCGCAUGCGCUUGCGCACUUCUACAACCUAACCUAUAACCUAACCUACGACAUAUUAUAUAAUAUGCAAAGAAAAGUAUGUUUUGUUUGUCAUUUACAUUUUUUUAAUUAAAAAAUUUUCGUUAUUAAAGUUUUUUUGUAUUAUGUUUAUUUAAAUAAAUAUGUUUUUACUGCAACAGCAUUAUUAAUUUAUUUGUAUUCCAAAUUUUCUUAAAACAUGAAGGAAAGAGUAUUGUAAGGUUUAUGAUUAUUUAUAUUAAUAUGAUUAUAUAGAGUGUAAGGUUUCUGAUUAUUUAUAUGAUUAUAUAGAGUCCUGUACAUAUUAAGAAUUAUUAUUAAAUAUGAGGUUUAUAUUGCAAACCAUUAAAAUAUUGUUAAGUAAUAAAUCCAACAGUUGACAAAUGUCGUCAAUAGAUGUCACAGGCUAACAAAAUUACAUCGCGGUAGCGUUGUGUGUAAAAAUUUGUAUAAGAAGUCCAAAGUAAUUAUGAAUAAAUCAAGAACCAAACGCAUCAAUGUAAAAUUGGCAGAUUAAAGCAAAGUGUGAACAAAGUUAGCCUGUUUAAUUUAUAUGUCUGACACCCAAAAGGUCAGAAGCGGGAUAAAUAAGGCUCUAGAAAACUAACCUUACUACGCCCACGGAUCGGUAAAACUUACGCUCAUCAUCUGUGACGUGGAGGACGACACUAGCCGAGGAGAAGGGUCUGGUGCUCGGCUAGUAAGAGGAAGUGGCUUAAUGAUAAAAGGAGCCCAUGUGCUUAGUCGAGGGGAAGGACUAACACAUAGGGAAUGACCAAGGAGCAUCCGAGGCUGAGGAUGUAGGUCACAUGUGCUUAGUCGAGGGGAAGGGCUAACACAUGGGAGUGACCAAGGAGCAUCCAAGGCUGAGGGUGUAGGUCAACAGGGAAGGAUUGGGAGGAUGAGCUCGCGGAUAGAGCAAGGAGCAUCCGAGGUUAGGAUGUAGGGUCCAUGUGCUUAGUCGAGGGGAAGGACUAACACAUGGGAGUGACCAAGGAGCAUCCGAGGUUAAGGAUGUAGGUCAACAGGAAAGGAUUAGGAGGAUGUGCUCGAGGAUAGAGCAUGGAGCAUCCGAGGUUGAGGAUGUAGGGCGACAGGAAAGAAUUAGAAGGAGGAGCUCGAGCAUAGAGCAAUAUGUAACAUUUGAUAAAAUGGACAAGGACACGAUGAUUCGAAGAGAACGGUUGCGUGGAAAGCGAUCGAGUGAACGACGAUCGCGUAAGCAGCGGUCGAGCAGGCAACAAUCAAGCGGCUCUGAUGACAGGGACGAAUACGAAA
RNA transcript from Bombyx mori (domestic silkworm), 8359 nucleotides. RefSeq lists it as uncharacterized. NCBI's taxonomy places the organism in Eukaryota, Metazoa, Arthropoda, Insecta, Lepidoptera, Bombycidae. The transcript is spliced from 7 exons. The record is from RefSeq and is a predicted model, not a curated record.